CUCCGCUUAGCUCAGCUGGAAGUAGCGCAAGACUGUAAUAUCAAUCAGAUAAUCUUGAGGUCGCCUGUUCGAUCCAGGCAGCGGAGA
Taxawa tesnikishii (nom. ined.) is the source of this 87-nucleotide non-coding RNA. The record is from the annotation of a GenBank genome assembly. NCBI's taxonomy places the organism in Eukaryota, Fungi, Ascomycota, Dothideomycetes, Dothideales.